GCCUCUGUGGUGUAGUGGUAGAGCACGCGUCCCCGCAUACGAUGAAAUGCGGGUUCAAUCCUCGCCUGACGCC
Non-coding RNA from Parelaphostrongylus tenuis, 73 nucleotides. NCBI's taxonomy places the organism in Eukaryota, Metazoa, Nematoda, Chromadorea, Rhabditida, Metastrongylidae. The record is from the annotation of a GenBank genome assembly.